This 502-nucleotide ribosomal RNA is filed under the name uncultured bacterium. Its description in RNAcentral is "bacterial SSU rRNA". It matches the Rfam family "Bacterial small subunit ribosomal RNA", at positions 8 to 507 of the family's 1533-position model. The record is from RNAcentral.
AGAGUUUGAUCAUGGCUCAGAUUGAACGCUGGCGGCAUGCCUUACACAUGCAAGUCGAACGGUAACGGGCCUUCGGGUGCCGACGAGUGGCGAACGGGUGAGUAAUGCAUCGGAACGUACCUUUCAGUGGGGGAUAACGUAGCGAAAGUUACGCUAAUACCGCAUAUUCUGUGAGCAGGAAAGCAGGGGAUCGCAAGACCUUGCGCUGAUUGAGCGGCCGAUGUCAGAUUAGCUAGUUGGUGAGGUAAAGGCUCACCAAGGCGACGAUCUGUAGCGGGGUCUGAGAGGAUGAUCCGCCACACUGGAACUGAGACACGGUCCAGACUCCUACGGGAGGCAGCAGUGGGGAAUUUUGGACAAUGGGGCAACCCUGAUCCAGCCAUGCCGCGUGAGUGAAGAAGGCCUUCGGGUUGUAAAGCUCUUUCGGCCGGGAAGAAAUCGCAUGGGUUAAUACCCUGUGCGGAUGACGGUACCGGCAUAAGAAGCACCGGCUAACUACGUG